GGUAGCUCAGCUGGCAGAGCGGAUGACUGUUAAUCAUCUUGUCGGGGGUUCGAAUCCCUCCC
RNAcentral lists this transfer RNA (62 nucleotides) under marine eukaryotic metagenome. It matches the Rfam family "tRNA", at positions 6 to 65 of the family's 71-position model. Rfam says of the family: Transfer RNA (tRNA) molecules are approximately 80 nucleotides in length. The record is from RNAcentral.